UGGGGUGGCGGCAGUCUACCAUGCAAGUCGAGCGGUAACACAGAGAGCUUGCUCUCGGGUGACGAGCGGCGGACGGGUGAGUAAUGUCUGGGAAACUGCCUGAUGGAGGGGGAUAACUACUGGAAACGGUAGCUAAUACCGCAUAACGUCGCAAGACCAAAGUGGGGGACCUUCGGGCCUCAUGCCAUCAGAUGUGCCCAGAUGGGAUUAGCUAGUAGGUGGGGUAAUGGCUCACCUAGGCGACGCCCUAGCUGGUCUGAGAGGAUGACCAGCCACACUGGAACUGAGACACGGUCCAGACUCCUACGGGAGGCAGCAGUGGGGAAUAUUGCACAAUGGGCGCAAGCCUGAUGCAGCCAUGCCGCGUGUAUGAAGAAGGCCUUCGGGUUGUAAAGUACUUUCAGCGAGGAGGAAGGCGUUAAGGUUAAUAACCUUGGCGAUUGACGUUACUCGCAGAAGAAGCACCGGCAUUAACUCCGUGCCAGCAGCCGCGGUAAUACGGAGGGUGCAAGCGUUAAUCGGAAUUACUGGGCGUAAAGCGCACGCAGGCGGUCUGUCAAGUCGGAUGUGAAAUCCCCGGGCUCAACCUGGGAACUGCAUUCGAAACUGGCAGGCUAGAGUCUUGUAGAGGGGUAGAAUUCCAGGUGUAGCGGUGAAAUGCGUAGAGAUCUGGAGGAAUACCGGUGGCGAAGGCGGCCCCCUGGACAAAGACUGACGCUCAGGUGCGAAAGCGUGGGGAGCAAACAGGAUUAGAUACCCUGGUAGUCCACGCCGUAAACGAUGUCGACUUGGAGGUUGUGCCCUUGAGGCGUGGCUUCCGGAGCUAACGCGUUAAGUCGACCGCCUGGGGAGUACGGCCGCAAGGUUAAAACUCAGGAUGAAUUGACGGGGCCCGCACAAGCGGUGAGCAUGUGGUUUAAUUUCGAUGCAACGCGAGACCUUACCUACUCUGACAUCAGAGACUAGCAGAGAUGCUUUGGUGCCUCGGGACUCUGAGACAGGUGCUGCAUGCUGUCGUCAGCUCUGUGUGAAUGUGGUAGUUCCGCAACGAGCGCAACCCUUAUCAUGGUGGCAGCCGAUUCAGGCCUGUAACUCAAGGAACUGGCGAAUGAUACCUGAGAGUGGAUAGGCUCAGUCACUGUGCUACGAGUGAGGCUACCACACGUGGCUA
RNAcentral lists this ribosomal RNA (1171 nucleotides) under Klebsiella aerogenes. RNAcentral's name for it is "bacterial SSU rRNA". It matches the Rfam family "Bacterial small subunit ribosomal RNA", at positions 37 to 1228 of the family's 1533-position model. Lineage: Bacteria; Pseudomonadati; Pseudomonadota; Gammaproteobacteria; Enterobacterales; Enterobacteriaceae. The record is from RNAcentral.